This is a non-coding RNA of Camellia sinensis, 660 nucleotides long. The record is from RefSeq and is a predicted model, not a curated record. NCBI's taxonomy places the organism in Eukaryota, Viridiplantae, Streptophyta, Magnoliopsida, Ericales, Theaceae.
UCGUCUCAAUAAUAGGCAAAUAAAAUCUCAUCAUCUCGCCCUAAUUUGUCAAAUGCAUGCUCUCGAUCUGUUCUCUCUUCUCUUUGUCUAGGGCUCUCUGUCGAAGACUCUAAUGGAGAUCUAAGAUCUUCAGCUUCAAUCGUCUGGGACUUCAAUGGAGAUCUAAGAUCUUCAACUUCAAUCGAUCUCAUUUUCAUGAUGAAUCUCAUCUUCAUGAUCGAUCUCAUACUCCAACGCAGAUCUAUCCUCUCUCCCCUUCGUUUCCGCACCAGCACCCCUUCUCGCUCAGUGUGCAGGUGUUUGGAUCUGUGAACUGGAAGAGAAGAUGAAUUCUUAAUUUAACAAUACUUUCACAUAACUGGGUUCCUAUUUUCCCUUUGCUCGACAUACCACAUGGUUUCUAUUCUGCAUCCUUUAAAAAUAUGAGAGAGACAGAAUUUCUGCUGGAAAAAAAUGGAGAAUUAAGGAUCAGAUGACUGUACCUAACAACUAUAAGAACAUCAAAAUUCCAGCCAAGUAUAUAUUAACAACCUUUAAAUUUUACCCGCAUAUCUCUUGCAAUUGAAGCUAUUAUGUCUGUCCCAUCAACAGCAACAAAUUGGAGUUGACUUUUGAACUGCAAGACAUUGUCAUAUUAGUUAGGCAAAUUCAAAUACGAUU